GAUGAACGCUGGCUACAGGCUUAACACAUGCAAGUCGAGGGGAAACGACGGGGAAGCUUGCUUCCCCGGGCGUCGACCGGCGCACGGGUGAGUAACGCGUAUCCAACCUGCCUCUGACUGAGGGAUAACCCGUCGAAAGUCGGCCUAAUACCUCAUGGCAUCGUCUGCGGGCAUCCAACGACGAUUAAAGAUUUCAUCGGUCAGAGAUGGGGAUGCGUCUGAUUAGCUUGUUGGCGGGGUAACGGCCCACCAAGGCGACGAUCAGUAGGGGUUCUGAGAGGAAGGUCCCCCACAUUGGAACUGAGACACGGUCCAAACUCCUACGGGAGGCAGCAGUGAGGAAUAUUGGUCAAUGGGCGAGAGCCUGAACCAGCCAAGUAGCGUGCAGGAUGACGGCCCUAUGGGUUGUAAACUGCUUUUAUGCGGGGACAAAGUGAGGGACGUGUCCUUCAUUGCAGGUACCGCAUGAAUAAGGACCGGCUAAUUCCGUG
This 491-nucleotide ribosomal RNA is filed under the name uncultured bacterium. RNAcentral describes it as "partial 16S ribosomal RNA". It matches the Rfam family "Bacterial small subunit ribosomal RNA", at positions 28 to 507 of the family's 1533-position model. The record is from RNAcentral.